RNAcentral lists this ribosomal RNA (477 nucleotides) under uncultured bacterium. RNAcentral's name for it is "partial 16S ribosomal RNA". It matches the Rfam family "Bacterial small subunit ribosomal RNA", at positions 29 to 523 of the family's 1533-position model. The record is from RNAcentral.
AACGAACGCUGGCGGCAGGUCUUAGGCAUGCAAGUCGAACGGGUGUAGCAAUACAUCAGUGGCGCACGAGUGAGUAACGCGUGGGAAGCUGCCCUUCACUGGGGAAUAACGUUUGGAAACGAACGCUAAUACCGCAUACGCCGGAAACGGGAAAGAUUUAUCGGUGAAGGAUGCGCCCGCGUUGGAUUAGCUUGUUGGUGGGGUAACGGCCUACCAAGGCGAUGAUCCAUAGCUGGUCUGAGAGGACGAUCAGCCACGCUGGAACUGAGACACGGUCCAGACUCCUACGGGAGGCAGCAGUGGGGAAUAUUGGACAAUGGGGGGAACCCUGAUCCAGCCAUGCCGCGUGUGUGAAGAAGGCCUUAUGGUUGUAAAGCACUUUAAGCGAGGAGGAGGCUCUUUUGGUUAAUACCCAAGAAGAGUGGACGUUACUCGCAGAAUAAGCACCGGCUAACUCUGUGCCAGCCGCCGCCGUAA